AGUGAACGCUGGCGGUAGGCCUAACACAUGCAAGUCGAACGGCAGCACAGUAAGAGCUUGCUCUUACGGGUGGCGAGUGGCGGACGGGUGAGGAAUACAUCGGAAUCUACUUUUUCGUGGGGGAUAACGUAGGGAAACUUACGCUAAUACCGCAUACGACCUACGGGUGAAAGCAGGGGAUCUUCGGACCUUGCGCGAUUGAAUGAGCCGAUGUCGGAUUAGCUAGUUGGCGGGGUAAAGGCCCACCAAGGCGACGAUCCGUAGCUGGUCUGAGAGGAUGAUCAGCCACACUGGACCUGAGACACGGUCCAGACUCCUACGGGAGGCAGCAGUGGGAAAUAUGGGACAAUGGGCGCAAGCCUGAUCCAGCCAUACCGCGUGGGUGAAGAAGGCCUUCGGGUGGUAAAGCCCUUUUGUUGGGAAAGAAAAGCAGCAGGUUAAUACCCCGCUGUUCUGACGGUACCCAAAGAAGAAGCACCGGCUAACUUCGU
RNAcentral lists this ribosomal RNA (491 nucleotides) under uncultured bacterium. Its description in RNAcentral is "partial 16S ribosomal RNA". It matches the Rfam family "Bacterial small subunit ribosomal RNA", at positions 29 to 506 of the family's 1533-position model. The record is from RNAcentral.